UUCUUCUGCCUCAGCCUCCAGAGUAGCUGGGACUACAGGUGACUGCUUCUGUGCCAGGCUGUGUGCUGAGCAUGGUGAAUACAGAAAUGAAGAAGACCAAGCACCAUCCCCAAGAAAUACAAGGACUUGAAAGAGAGACAGAUAAAGGCACUUCCCAACUGUGGACAAAUGGAACAGAUAAUGAAUUUACAAGGCUUGGAAGGUGCAAAGAAAAAGGAGUGUGCAAUCCUUAACCUAGAUGAUGACUAAAACAAAUUGUGGAAGGAUAACUGAAUUCACUGUGGUGACAAGAAUGGGGCAGGGUGCAGUAUGGUCAACAGCUUAGAGGUAUAAACACAUUGCCAUGCCCCAGAGACCAUUAGCUCCGCCCUCCCACAAAAAAAAUGUGACAACUGACAAAUGUUGGAGUUGAGAAUGUCCUAGAUCACAAUAAGUAGAUCUUUCCCUUCUCUAAAGUCAGUAUAUUUCUGUUGGGACAGUGCCCUGCUCUGAUUCAGAAAGGUGCCAGUCUUCCUGACUUCAGGGACUUGCAGUGGCUUUGGACAGUGGCUUUGCACUUUGUGAGCUCGCACUUACUGAGGAAGAAUGCCUUAGAGUGUGGCCCAUGCUCUAGCCUGCAUGGCUGGUGGCACUGAGUUAGGACAUGUGUAUCACUGAUAUUCGUAUUUCCUAAAAGUCUUAUUAUUAUGCUGUACAGAUAUGUGUGGAUUUUUUAAAGCUUGCACUCAAUAAACUGUGAAUCUGCGACUGUAAAUAA
This is a long non-coding RNA of Homo sapiens (human), 757 nucleotides long. RefSeq lists it as uncharacterized. Lineage: Eukaryota; Metazoa; Chordata; Mammalia; Primates; Hominidae. The record is from RefSeq and is a predicted model, not a curated record. The transcript is spliced from 2 exons.